RNAcentral lists this ribosomal RNA (253 nucleotides) under uncultured bacterium. RNAcentral describes it as "partial 16S ribosomal RNA". It matches the Rfam family "Bacterial small subunit ribosomal RNA", at positions 524 to 776 of the family's 1533-position model. The record is from RNAcentral.
UACGUAGGGUGCAAGCGUUAAUCGGAAUUACUGGGCGUAAAGCGCACGUAGGCGGACUUGUCAGUCAGGGGUGAAAUCCCGAGGCUUAACCUCGGAACUGCCUUUGAUACUGCAAGUCUUGAGGAUGAGAGAGGUAAGUGGAACUGCGAGUGUAGAGGUGAAAUUCGUAGAUAUUCGCAAGAACACCAGUGGCGAAGGCGGCUUACUGGCUCAUUUCUGACGCUGAGGUGCGAAAGCGUGGGGAGCAAACAGG